AACACCCAGAUUCAUGUAGGUCACACUUGCUGUUUGUGCCAGUGAAAUUAACCUCAGGAGGAGAGAUGAAUGCAGUGCAUUUCGUCUGCCUGUAGAUGGCACUAUUACUGCAGUAUAUCAGUCCUGUAUGAGCGUUUCAGAUCAAUUUCUUGCAAGAUCUUUUACUAAACUGAAUUAAAUAAUCUGGUUUAGGUAAUGGAUUUUGCAUGGGGCUCCUGAAGUAUGUGUGUUUACCUGUGCCUGAUGCCUAUCACACCUUUUACAGUCUCAUUAAAAUUAAUCUCUGCUGAUUUUACAGACUGAUUAUACCGUACAUGUACUGGAAUAGGCCAAGCCUCAGGCCUUAGCAACAGUUAGCAGAUAACUAGUAGAUAACUAGUUAACUAACUAGCUUACUGCUGGUAGCUUUAGUGCACUUCCAAUGCAGUCACAGAUGUUUCAGUUCAGUCAUGCACAUGCAGCUGGAAGCAUGUUUUUAUUCGUUAUUGCUUUUUUAUAUCUCAUGAAUAUAAUGGUCAUUUUGCUAGAUACAGAUGUACUGACAUAUAUCUAUAUUUUGAAAACAGAAACAAUGACUGUUAUUUUGACAUCUAUGAAUGGAAGAAAGGUCUCUGCUAAAUUGAUACAUGUGCUUAUUUAUGCGCAUGCGUGCACAUGAAAGUGUGUGUGUGUGUGUGUGUGUGUGUGUGUGUGUGUGUGUGAUUAUAUCUGUCUGCAAGGGCAUGUGUAUUCAGGAAUACUUAAAAAUGCAAAGUUUGACUUCAUUACUCCAUUUAUGUCAGAAUGAUUAAUAUCUGGAAUCAUUUUUGUAAACAUAAUUGUUAUGUUUAUUUUAUAAGCGUAAUAUGCAAACAUAAGCAUAGUUACAAAUGAUUCUGAUGAAGAGCAGCCGUUCUCAUUGAUAUUGAUAUUUAAAUCUUCAUUUAUCUCAAUUUCAAUGACACAGUGGGGCGUGAGAAAUGAGAAUUACCCAGUCUUUUUUAAAAGGCACUACUGGUCCAGUCCAUACACAAAGCAAACGACUGUGUUCAUUUUCUUCAACCGUUUUUGUCUGAUAAAAUCUAAAAUGUGCAUGACUUUUAGGAAAAAAGGGGAAGUGAGUCAGUUCUGCAACAGCGCAUUCUACUUUUAUAUUUAGUGUGAAGCACUUCCUUUGCAGUCACAUUCAGCCACACUGCUCUGUCUGUAAGGCUGUUUAAUACUAAUGGCUCAUUAGCAAAGCACUGAGGCCAAAUCAGAACUCUCCUGGUGUUCUGAGCCAGAGGGGAUGGGGAGUGACUUACACCCCUGAGAGAAUCUGUGCCUUAAAGGGGUCUUCAGUAGACAUGAGCUGCACUUACUCAUAUCCCACAUCUCACACAGUGCAGAAAACUUUCUGGUUUAUUCACUAGAACAAGCCACAGGAGCCUGAGGAUCUGUCCCAGUACCCAGAGUACUCUCACCGUGUGGAGUACCUGGGGAAUAAGCACGGUGACUGCACUUUUAGAAUAAAGCAACUGAGAGAAAGUGAUUCAGCAAUAUAUCGCUUCAAGUUCCUCACCGACCGUUAUGGUGGAAAAUGUACUGGUCAUCCUGGAGUCUCAUUGACAGUUACAGGUCUUCAGGUGAAAGUGACAGAGAAUGAGGC
Anguilla anguilla (European eel) is the source of this 1627-nucleotide long non-coding RNA. RefSeq lists it as uncharacterized. The record is from RefSeq and is a predicted model, not a curated record. Lineage: Eukaryota; Metazoa; Chordata; Actinopteri; Anguilliformes; Anguillidae. The transcript is spliced from 3 exons.